This is a small nucleolar RNA of Euleptes europaea (tarantolino), 86 nucleotides long. RefSeq annotates it as small nucleolar RNA SNORD121A. The transcript has a single exon. The record is from RefSeq and is a predicted model, not a curated record. Lineage: Eukaryota; Metazoa; Chordata; Lepidosauria; Squamata; Sphaerodactylidae.
GACCGGAAGACUGUGAUGUGGUAUUCUUUCCAAGCACAUAUCCGAUUGCUGCAUGUGGAAAUCAAUGACUUCUGAGUUUUCCGGCU